Molecule: ribosomal RNA, 496 nt
Filed under: uncultured bacterium
Lineage: Bacteria
Description: partial 16S ribosomal RNA
Rfam family: Bacterial small subunit ribosomal RNA
Source: RNAcentral
GAUGAACGCUGGCGGCGUGCCUAAUACAUGCAAGUCGAGCGAACAGACGAGGAGCUUGCUCCUCUGACGUUAGCGGCGGACGGGUGAGUAACACGUGGAUAACCUACCUAUAAGACUGGGAUAACUUCGGGAAACCGGAGCUAAUACCGGAUAAUAUAUUGAACCGCAUGGUUCAAUAGUGAAAGACGGUUUUGCUGUCACUUAUAGAUGGAUCCGCGCCGCAUUAGCUAGUUGGUAAGGUAACGGCUUACCAAGGCAACGAUGCGUAGCCGACCUGAGAGGGUGAUCGGCCACACUUGAACUGAGGCACGGUCCAGACGCCUCGGGAGCCAGCAGUAGGGAAUCUUCCGCAAUGGGCGAAAGCCUGACGGAGCAACGCCGCAUGGGUGAUGAAGGUAUUCGGAUCGUAAAACUCUGUUAUUAGGGAAGAACAAAUGUGUAAGUAACGAUGCACGGCUUGACGGUACCUAAUCAGAAAGGCACGGCUAACUACGUG